RNAcentral lists this ribosomal RNA (463 nucleotides) under uncultured bacterium. RNAcentral describes it as "bacterial SSU rRNA". It matches the Rfam family "Bacterial small subunit ribosomal RNA", at positions 335 to 801 of the family's 1533-position model. The record is from RNAcentral.
ACUCCUACGGGAGGCAGCAGUGGGGAAUAUUGCACAAUGGGCGAAAGCCUGAUGCAGCGACGCCGCGUGAGGGACGACGGCCUCGGUUGUAACCUCUUUCAGUAGGGAACAAGGCAUCAUUUUGUUGGUGUUGAGGGUACUUGCAGAAGAAGCACCGGCUAACUACGUGCCAGCAGCCGCGGUAAUACGUAGGGGUGCAAGCGUUAUCCGGAAUUAUUGGGCGUAAAGAGCUCGUAGGCGGUUUGUCGCGUCUGUCGUGAAAGUCCGGGGCUCAACUCCGGAUCUGCGGUGGGUACGGGCAGACUAGAGUGAUGUAGGGGAGACUGGAAUUCCUGGUGUAGCGGUGGAAUGCGCAGAUAUCAGGAGGAACACCGAUGGCGAAGGCAGGUCUCUGGGCAUUAACUGACGCUGAGGAGCGAAAGCAUGGGGAGCGAACAGGAUUAGAUACCCUGGUAGGAUAGCG